UUAACACAUGCAAGUCGAGGGGCAGCAUGGUCUUAGCUUGCUAAGACUGAUGGCGACCGGCGCACGGGUGAGUAACACGUAUCCAACCUGCCGUCUACUCUUGGACAGCCUUCUGAAAGGAAGAUUAAUACAAGAUGGCAUCAUGAGUCCGCAUGUUCACAUGAUUAAAGGUAUUCCGGUAGACGAUGGGGAUGCGUUCCAUUAGAUAGUAGGCGGGGUAACGGCCCACCUAGUCUUCGAUGGAUAGGGGUUCUGAGAGGAAGGUCCCCCACAUUGGAACUGAGACACGGUCCAAACUCCUACGGGAGGCAGCAGUGAGGAAUAUUGGUCAAUGGGCGAGAGCCUGAGCCAGCCAAGUAGCGUGAAGGAUGACUGCCCUAUGGGUUGUAAACUUCUUUUAUAAAGGAAUAAAGUCGGGUAUGCAUACCCGUUUGCAUGUACUUUAUGAAUAAGGAUCGGCUAACUUCGUGCCAGCAGCCGCGGUAAUACGGAGGAUCCGAGCGUUAUCCGGAUUUAUUGGGUUUAAGGGAGCGUAGAUGGAUGUUUAAGUCAGUUGUGAAAGUUUGCGGCUCAACCGUAAAAUUGCAGUUGAUACUGGAUAUCUUGAGUGCAGUUGAGGCAGGCGGAAUUCGUGGUGUAGCGGUGAAAUGCUUAGAUAUCACGAAGAACUCCGAUUGCGAAGGCAGCCUGCUAAGCUGCAACUGACAUUGAGGCUCGAAAGUGUGGGUAUCAAACAGGAUUAGAUACCCUGGUAGUCCACACGGUAAACGAUGAAUACUCGCUGUUUGCGAUAUACGGCAAGCGGCCAAGCGAAAGCGUUAAGUAUUCCACCUGGGGAGUACGCCGGCAACGGUGAAACUCAAAGGAAUUGACGGGGGCCCGCACAAGCGGAGGAACAUGUGGUUUAAUUCGAUGAUACGCGAGGAACCUUACCCGGGCUUAAAUUGCAGAUGAAUUACGGUGAAAGCCGUAAGCCGCAAGGCAUCUGUGAAGGUGCUGCAUGGUUGUCGUCAGCUCGUGCCGUGAGGUGUCGGCUUAAGUGCCAUAACGAGCGCAACCCUUGUUGUCAGUUACUAACAGGUUCCGCUGAGGACUCUGACAAGACUGCCAUCGUAAGAUGUGAGGAAGGUGGGGAUGACGUCAAAUCAGCACGGCCCUUACGUCCGGGGCUACACACGUGUUACAAUGGGGGGUACAGAGGGCCGCUACCACGCGAGUGGAUGCCAAUCCCCAAAACCUCUCUCAGUUCGGACUGGAGUCUGCAACCCGACUCCACGAAGCUGGAUUCGCUAGUAAUCGCGCAUCAGCCACGGCGCGGUGAAUACGUUCCCGGGCCUUGUACACACCGCCCGUCAAGCCAUGGGAGCCGGGGGUACCUGAAGUGCGUAACCGCGAGGAGCGCCCUAGGGUAAAACUGGUGACUGGGGCUAAGU
Molecule: ribosomal RNA, 1433 nt
Filed under: uncultured organism
Description: 16S ribosomal RNA
Rfam family: Bacterial small subunit ribosomal RNA
Source: RNAcentral